AAUUUUGGACAGUGGGGGAAACCCUCAUCCAGCCAUCCCGCGUGUAUGAUGAAGGCAUUCGGGUUGUAAAGUACUUUUGGCAGAGAAGAAAAGGUACCUCCUAAUACGAGGUACUGCUGACGGUAUCUGCAGAAUAAGAACGGGAUAACUACGUACGAGGAGCCGCGGUAAUACGUAGGGUGCAAGCGUUAAUCGGAAUUCCUGGGCGUAAAGCGUGUGGAGGCGGUUCGGGAAGAAAGAUGUGGAAACCCAGGGCUCAACCUUGGAACUGCAUUUUCAACUGCCGGGCUUGAGUAUGUCAGAGGGUGGUAGAAUUCCACGUGUAGCAGUGAAAUGCGUAGAUAUGUGGAGGAAUACCGAUGGCGAAGGCAGACCCCUGGGAUAAUACUGACGCUCAGACACGAAAGCGUGGGGAGCAAAC
RNAcentral lists this ribosomal RNA (421 nucleotides) under uncultured bacterium. Its description in RNAcentral is "partial 16S ribosomal RNA". It matches the Rfam family "Bacterial small subunit ribosomal RNA", at positions 360 to 773 of the family's 1533-position model. The record is from RNAcentral.